Molecule: ribosomal RNA, 975 nt
Filed under: Triticum aestivum (bread wheat)
Lineage: Eukaryota; Viridiplantae; Streptophyta; Magnoliopsida; Poales; Poaceae
Description: partial small subunit ribosomal RNA
Source: RNAcentral
CAGCCAGCGGUGCCAGCAAAACGCUAACCGGGGAGUCAAGGGGUUUGCGAGAGGCGUAGAAAGAAAACUAACUAGGGGUGUAAGGGUUGGUCGUUUUCGUUGAGCUAGACGUUCUGUCGUCGUAGACUCCUUCGUUUCGUAGGCUAGGUUGGAGGAGGGCCGCGGGGUACCUACUUAGACUGCUCGCGCCGUUGCCGCCGCCGCCGCCGGUGGUGGUGCCGAUGCUCACCUUCGAGGGCCGCCGCGACAGCCGCUUGUGCUGCUCGCACGUGCACUGCCGCGACCUGCCCCACCAGUUGCACUUGAGCGAGAAGUGCCACCGGCAGAAGCACCCGGAGAGGGAGCGCUGGGGGCCGCUCGAGGCGUCGGAGCGGCCGCUGAGCAGGACGCUGCGGCCCGGGCUGCACCGCGCCAGGGACGAGCAGGAGCUCCACCAGCGGAAGAGGAGGAAGGAGAAGAGGUCGGAGCACCGCGUCCCGGAGUUCGAGCGCUAGUUGGAGUAGUUGAGGUUCCUAGGGCUGCUGUGCGUGCGGGUGUAGCUGCGGGCGGACGAGGCCGACCCCUACGACCGGAGGCGGCACCCGAGGCAGCAGCCGACGCAGAAGAACUACCGCAGGUACCACUACCAGCACGUCUAGGCCGAGCCGUGGGACCCUACGCGGUCGUUGGCCCGGCGACGGUUCCGGCGGCGCCCCGAGCAGCCCGAGCAGAGGUGGCGGGAGCAGCACAUGUAGUCGUGGCAGAAGAUGUGAAAGUGAGUGACUAACUGUCUAACGACGACGACUAUGUAGUCCAAGGUACCUAGAACGAACGGUCAACGGUGACAGAGCAAAAAAAAUCAUCGAAAAUUGCCCCACUACUCUACAAAAUCGUUUAUAAAGACGACAGAUACAUUUUAUAUAACAACGUAGGCGCUCGAUUAAUCUUGAACUAGUUUGGUACUCUUAAGGGCAACUACUUAUCAAAACUGUAGAG